This is a ribosomal RNA of 1192 nucleotides. It matches the Rfam family "Bacterial large subunit ribosomal RNA", at positions 1573 to 2778 of the family's 2925-position model. The record is from Rfam.
GCCCCAUUAGGGGGCGAAGCUGUUGAUUCACACUGCCAAGAAAAGCCGCUAGUGAGAUAUUGACCGCCCGUACCGCAAACCGACACAGGUAGUUGGGAAGAGAAUUCUAAGGUGAGCGAGCGAACUCUCGUUAAGGAACUCGGCAAAAUGACCCCGUAACUUCGGGAGAAGGGGUGCUCAGUAAAAUGAGCCGCAGUGAAUAGGCCCAAGCGACUGUUUAUCAAAAACACAGGUCUCUGCCAAACCGAAAGGUGACGUAUAGGGGCUGACGCCUGCCCGGUGCUGGAAGGUUAAAAGGCGCGCUUAGCGUAAGCGAAGGUGCAAAUUGAAGCCCCAGUAAACGGCGGCCGUAACUAUAACGGUCCUAAGGUAGCGAAAUUCCUUGUCAGGUAAGUUCUGACCCGCACGAAAGGCGCAACGAUUUGGGCACUGUCUCAACGAGAGGCUCGGUGAAAUCAUAUUACCUGUGAAGAUGCAGGUUACCCGCGACAGGACGGAAAGACCCCGUGGAGCUUUACUGUAGCCUGAUAUUGAAUCUGGACCUCACCUGUACAGGAUAGGUGGGAGUCUUUGAAGCGUGGACGCCAGUCCACGUGGAGACACUGGUGGGAUACCACCCCGGUGUGGUUGAGAUUCUAACCCGCGUCCGUGAUCCGGACGGGAGACAGUGUCAGGUGGACAGUUUGACUGGGGCGGUCGCCUCCUAAAGAGUAACGGAGGCGCUCAAAGGUUCCCUCAGAAUGGUUGGAAAUCAUUCACAGAGUGUAAAGGCAUAAGGGAGCUUGACUGCGAGACCGACAAGUCGAGCAGGGUCGAAAGACGGACUUAGUGAUCCGGUGGUUCCGCAUGGAAGGGCCAUCGCUCAACGGAUAAAAGCUACCCCGGGGAUAACAGGCUUAUCUCCCCCAAGAGUUCACAUCGACGGGGAGGUUUGGCACCUCGAUGUCGGCUCGUCGCAUCCUGGGGCUGUAGUCGGUCCCAAGGGUUGGGCUGUUCGCCCAUUAAAGCGGCACGCGAGCUGGGUUCAGAACGUCGUGAGACAGUUCGGUCCCUAUCCGUCGUGGGCGUAGGAAAUUUGAGAGGCGCUGUCCUUAGUACGAGAGGACCGGGAUGGACAUACCACUGGUGUACCAGUUGUCGUGCCAACGGCAUCGCUGGGUAGCUAUGUAUGGCCGGGAUAAGUGCUGAAAGC